GGUUAAGCGACUAAGCGUACACGGUGGAUGCCCUGGCAGUCAGAGGCGAUGAAGGACGUGCUAAUCUGCGAAAAGCGUCGGUAAGGUGAUAUGAACCGUUAUAGCCGGCGAUGUCCGAAUGGGGAAACCCAGUGCAAUUCGUUGCACUAUCGUUAACUGAAUACAUAGGUUAACGAGGCGAACCGGGGGAACUGAAACAUCUAAGUACCCCGAGGAAAAGAAAUCAACCGAGAUUCCCCCAGUAGCGGCGAGCGAACGGGGAGCAGCCCGGAGUCUGAAUCAGCUUGUGUGUUAGUGGAAGCGUCUGGAAAGUCGCAGGGUACAGGGUGAUACUCCCGUACACUAAAACACACAGGUUGUGAACUCGAAGAGUAGGGCGGGACACGUGGUAUCCUGUCUGAAUAUGGGGGGACCAUCCUCCAAGGCUAAAUACUCCUGACUGACCGAUAGUGAACCAGUACCGUGAGGGAAAGGCGAAAAGAACCCCGGCGAGGGGAGUGAAAAAGAACCUGAAACCGUGUACGUACAAGCAGUAGGAGCCCACUUGUUGGGUGACUGCGUACCUUUUGUAUAAUGGGUCAGCGACUUAUAUUCUGUAGCAAGGUUAACCGUAUAGGGGAGCCGCAGGGAAACCGAGUCUUAACUGGGCGUUAAGUUGCAGGGUAUAGACCCGAAACCCGGUGAUCUAGCCAUGGGCAGGUUGAAGGUUGGGUAACACUAACUGGAGGACCGAACCGACUAAUGUUGAAAAAUUAGCGGAUGACUUGUGGCUGGGGGUGAAAGGCCAAUCAAACCGGGAGAUAGCUGGUUCUCCCCGAAAGCUAUUUAGGUAGCGCCUCGUGAACUCAUCUUCGGGGGUAGAGCACUGUUUCGGCUAGGGGGUCAUCCCGACUUACCAACCCGAUGCAAACUACGAAUACCGAAGAAUGUUAUCACGGGAGACACACGGCGGGUGCUAACGUCCGUCGUGAAGAGGGAAACAACCCAGACCGCCAGCUAAGGUCCCAAAGUCAUGGUUAAGUGGGAAACGAUGUGGGAAGGCCCAGACAGCCAGGAUGUUGGCUUAGAAGCAGCCAUCAUUUAAAGAAAGCGUAAUAGCUCACUGGUCGAGUCGGCCUGCGCGGAAGAUGUAACGGGGCUAAACCAUGCACCGAAGCUGCGGCAGCGACACUAUGUGUUGUUGGGUAGGGGAGCGUUCUGUAAGCCGUUGAAGGUGGCCUGUGAGGGUUGCUGGAGGUAUCAGAAGUGCGAAUGCUGACAUAAGUAACGAUAAUGCGGGUGAAAAACCCGCACGCCGGAAGACCAAGGGUUCCUGUCCAACGUUAAUCGGGGCAGGGUGAGUCGACCCCUAAGGCGAGGCCGAAAGGCGUAGUCGAUGGGAAACAGGUUAAUAUUCCUGUACUCGGUGUUACUGCGAAGGGGGGACGGAGAAGGCUAUGUUGGCCGGGCGACGGUUGUCCCGGUUUAAGCAUGUAGGCGGAUGUUCCAGGUAAAUCCGGAACGUCACUAACGCUGAGGUGUGAUGACGAGGCACUACGGUGCUGAAGUGACAAAUGCCCUGCUUCCAGGAAAAGCCUCUAAGCAUCAGGUAACAUCAAAUCGUACCCCAAACCGACACAGGUGGUCAGGUAGAGAAUACCAAGGCGCUUGAGAGAACUCGGGUGAAGGAACUAGGCAAAAUGGUGCCGUAACUUCGGGAGAAGGCACGCUGAUGGUAGGUGAAGCGACUUGCUCGUGGAGCUGAAAUCAGUCGAAGAUACCAGCUGGCUGCAACUGUUUAUUAAAAACACAGCACUGUGCAAACACGAAAGUGGACGUAUACGGUGUGACGCCUGCCCGGUGCCGGAAGGUUAAUUGAUGGGGUUAUCCGUAAGGAGAAGCUCUUGAUCGAAGCCCCGGUAAACGGCGGCCGUAACUAUAACGGUCCUAAGGUAGCGAAAUUCCUUGUCGGGUAAGUUCCGACCUGCACGAAUGGCGUAAUGAUGGCCAGGCUGUCUCCACCCGAGACUCAGUGAAAUUGAACUCGCUGUGAAGAUGCAGUGUACCCGCGGCAAGACGGAAAGACCCCGUGAACCUUUACUAUAGCUUGACACUGAACACUGGUCCUUGAUGUGUAGGAUAGGUGGGAGGCUUUGAAGUGUGGACGCCAGUCUGCAUGGAGCCAUCCUUGAAAUACCACCCUUUAAUGGCUGGUGUUCUAACGUGGGCCCCUAAUCGGGGUUGCGGACAGUGUCUGGUGGGUAGUUUGACUGGGGCGGUCUCCUCCUAAAGAGUAACGGAGGAGCACGAAGGUCAGCUAAUCCUGGUCGGACAUCAGGAGGUUAGUGCAAUGGCAUAAGCUGGCUUGACUGCGAGCGUGACGGCGCGAGCAGGUGCGAAAGCAGGUCAUAGUGAUCCGGUGGUUCUGAAUGGAAGGGCCAUCGCUCAACGGAUAAAAGGUACUCCGGGGAUAACAGGCUGAUACCGCCCAAGAGUUCAUAUCGACGGCGGUGUUUGGCACCUCGAUGUCGGCUCAUCACAUCCUGGGGCUGAAGUAGGUCCCAAGGGUAUGGCUGUUCGCCAUUUAAAGUGGUACGCGAGCUGGGUUUAGAACGUCGUGAGACAGUUCGGUCCCUAUCUGCCGUGGGCGCUGGAGAAUUGAGGGGGGCUGCUCCUAGUACGAGAGGACCGGAGUGGACGCAUCACUGGUGUUCGGGUUGUCAUGCCAAUGGCAUUGCCCGGUAGCUAAAUGCGGAAGAGAUAAGUGCUGAAAGCAUCUAAGCACGAAACUUGCCCCGAGAUGAGUUCUCCCUGAC
RNAcentral lists this ribosomal RNA (2795 nucleotides) under Klebsiella michiganensis. RNAcentral describes it as "partial 23S ribosomal RNA". It matches the Rfam family "Bacterial large subunit ribosomal RNA". The record is from RNAcentral. Lineage: Bacteria; Pseudomonadati; Pseudomonadota; Gammaproteobacteria; Enterobacterales; Enterobacteriaceae.